AUGAACGCUAGCGACAGGCUUAACACAUGCAAGUCAGGGGUAACAGGGUAGCAAUACCGCUGACGACCGGCGCACGGGUGAGUAACGCGUAUGCAACCUGCCUAUAACUGUGGAAUAGCUCCCUGAAAGGGGGAAUUAACACCGCAUAACACUAUUGAUUCGCAUGGAUUGGUAGUUAAAUGUAGCGAUACAGGUUAUAGAUGGGCAUGCGUGACAUUAGCUAGUUGGUGAGGUAACGGCUCACCAAGGCUACGAUGUCUAGGGGUUCUGAGAGGAAGGUCCCCCACACUGGUACUGGGACACGGACCAGACUCCUACGGGAGGCAGCAGUGAGGAAUAUUGGUCAAUGGGCGCAAGCCUGAACCAGCCAUGUCGCGUGCAGGAAGACUGCCCCUAUGGGUUGUAAACUGCUUUUAUAGUAGAAGAAACACAUCUACGUGUAGAUGUCUGCCAGUAUACUAUGAAUAAGCAUCGGCUAACUCCGUGCCAGCAGCUGC
Molecule: ribosomal RNA, 497 nt
Filed under: uncultured bacterium
Lineage: Bacteria
Description: bacterial SSU rRNA
Rfam family: Bacterial small subunit ribosomal RNA
Source: RNAcentral